Daphnia pulex (common water flea) is the source of this 1376-nucleotide long non-coding RNA. RefSeq lists it as uncharacterized. The record is from RefSeq and is a predicted model, not a curated record. The transcript has 2 exons. NCBI's taxonomy places the organism in Eukaryota, Metazoa, Arthropoda, Branchiopoda, Diplostraca, Daphniidae.
UCUAUCGGAUUGGUUUUUCACCAGCAGUUGCUUUGCUAGGGCCUAAAAACGUAGAGAUCCUACCAGCUGAUCGACCACAAUUUGAACUCCUGUCAAAUUCUUCAGUAGUUCUAGACUUCUAGUUCAGUUGUCUUUUUUUCACCAAUUAGAUAAAACCAAGGGAUAAAAUGUCUCCCAUUGGAAUUCACCAAUUUUCCGGAAAAGUUCUAGACAAAAAUGUUUGCUUUCAGGCAUUAAAGUUAACAGAUCAGCUAUUGCUUUGGAUCGGCAUGGAAAGCGACCCAUCUUUCAAAGAUUUUGCCGUAGCAAUGAGCACGCCGUACGAAAAAUCACCCACAACAGUCAAGAUCUUAGGCGAUCCAUCUUCUCUUACGUCUUCAACACUUGCCAGCCGCUUAUCCAAGAGAUGCAAGAAACCUGUUUUUGUCAGCUUCAACAUUUCAGAAACUAAUCAAGAACUGUUCACCAAGAUUGAAGAACGAUUAUUAGAAGAAAUUAUGAUCUCCCCAGAAUUGUUCUGAUGAAUUCAACUGUGAAAUCUAGCUCAAUACAAGCAUAUUGUCUUUGUAUCUAUUUUUGUUACACAGAUUCUUUUAAGAUUUGAACAAAAACAGUAUAGUAAUAAUCAAGCAAAGCAGUAUUUAGGUUUUUAUGUGUCAGUGAAUUUAAGGAAAUGAGUUAAUCUAACAAUCCGUAACUCGAUGUAAAAUAACUUCCUACUACGACACAUGUGGUAUUCAAUUAACAGCCGUUUCCGUUUGACUCUUUACCUUUCUUUUCUUACAGGGAAAAUGAGAAACGACAGGCGUAAUACGACAAAGAGAGCAACAAACAAUUGUGACAAUAUUUUCUACAUAAAAUCUGGUACUCCACAAUCUGAUCAGACGGAACAAGACUAGGUAAGAAAUAUGAAAAUGGCCCAGAACAAGUUUCCGCCUCCUGCUAAAUAUGUAGACGGUUGCGUAAUGUUAAGCGACGUUCACAGUGCGCCAAGAUAUUAUUUGUAUAACGGUUGAAGGAAAACUAUCUUUAAGCAACAAAGGGUCUUGAUGGGAUUUUAACGGCGGUACAAGAAAAUAGAUCGAAGAAAAAGAAACAGCUAAACGGACAAAACCGAUUAUCUGCCGAUCGACCAUUUCUAGGUAAGUCGGCCAUGAAUCACUCAAACUUGACCACCUGUUUUUUUUUUUUGUUUUGCUUAUGCUCGUAGCCUAUAGAAUGUAGUGAUAUAGAACGCUACUCUUUCGUGUUUACAAAGAGCCCGCAAAACCAACCGAUUGCAAAUACAAUACCGCGAAUGAAAAAUAAAAUGCCUUGGUUGAAUGAUGGAUUUUUUGGAAACCCCUAGUUUGACCACGAAUAAGUUGCUGUAUAUU